GUGGGGAAUAUUGGACAAUGGGCGAAAGCCUGAUCCAGCAAUGCCGCGUGAGUGAUGAAGGCCUUAGGGUUGUAAAGCUCUUUUACCAGGGAUGAUAAUGACAGUACCUGGAGAAUAAGCUCCGGCUAACUCCGUGCCAGCAGCCGCGGUAAUACGGAGGGAGCUAGCGUUGUUCGGAAUUACUGGGCGUAAAGCGCGCGUAGGCGGCUACUCAAGUCAGAGGUGAAAGCCCGGGGCUCAACCCCGGAACUGCCUUUGAAACUAGGUAGCUAGAAUCUUGGAGAGGUCAGUGGAAUUCCGAGUGUAGAGGUGAAAUUCGUAGAUAUUCGGAAGAACACCAGUGGCGAAGGCGACUGACUGGACAAGUAUUGACGCUGAGGUGCGAAAGCGUGGGGAGCAAACAGGAUUAGAAACCCGUGUAGUCC
This 425-nucleotide ribosomal RNA is filed under the name uncultured bacterium. RNAcentral describes it as "partial 16S ribosomal RNA". It matches the Rfam family "Bacterial small subunit ribosomal RNA", at positions 354 to 796 of the family's 1533-position model. The record is from RNAcentral.